Molecule: non-coding RNA, 63 nt
Filed under: uncultured Desulfovibrio sp.
Lineage: Bacteria; Pseudomonadati; Thermodesulfobacteriota; Desulfovibrionia; Desulfovibrionales; Desulfovibrionaceae
Source: RNAcentral
AUGCGAAACGGCCCCGUAUGGGGCCGUCGCCGGGGCGUGGCGGCUCCGGCCUGACGAGCAACC